AGUGAACGCUGGCGGUAGGCCUAACACAUGCAAGUCGAACGGCAGCACAGUAAGAGCUUGCUCUUACGGGUGGCGAGUGGCGGACGGGUGAGGAAUACAUCGGAAUCUACUUUUUCGUGGGGGAUAACGUAGGGAAACUUACGCUAAUACCGCAUACGACCUACGGGUGAAAGCAGGGGAUCUUCGGACCUUGCGCGAUUGAAUGAGCCGAUGUCGGAUUAGCUAGUUGGCGGGGUAAAGGCCCACCAAGGCGACGAUCCGUAGCUGGUCUGAGAGGAUGAUCAGCAACACUGGAAUUGAGACACGGUCCAGACUCCUACGGGAGGCAGCAGUGGGGAAUAUUGGACAAUGGGCGCAAGCCUGAUCCAGCCAUACUGCGUGGGUGAAGAAGGCCUUCGGGUUGUAAAGCCCUUUUGUUGGGAAAGAAAAGCAGCAGGUUAAUACCCCGCUGUUCUGACGGUACCCAAAGAAUAAGCACCGGCUAACUUCGUG
RNAcentral lists this ribosomal RNA (492 nucleotides) under uncultured bacterium. RNAcentral's name for it is "partial 16S ribosomal RNA". It matches the Rfam family "Bacterial small subunit ribosomal RNA", at positions 29 to 507 of the family's 1533-position model. The record is from RNAcentral.